This 469-nucleotide ribosomal RNA is filed under the name uncultured bacterium. RNAcentral describes it as "bacterial SSU rRNA". It matches the Rfam family "Bacterial small subunit ribosomal RNA", at positions 26 to 518 of the family's 1533-position model. The record is from RNAcentral.
AGGAUUAACGCUGGCGGCGUGCCUAACACAUGCAAGUCGAACGAAAUAUCUUCGGAUAUUUAGUGGCGAACGGGUGAGUAAUGUACAGGUAAUGUACCUUCGUACUGCGAAUAACAAGCUGAAAAGUUUGCUAAUACGGAAUAGUUUCAUUAGGGGGCAUCCUUUGAUGAAUAAAGAUUUAUCGUGCGGAGAUCAGCCUGUAUCCUAUUAGUUAGUUGGUGGGGUAAUGGCCUACCAAGACGACGAUGGGUAACUGGUCUGAGAGGAUGAGCAGUCACAUUGGAACUGAGAUACGGUCCAAACUCCUACGGGAGGCAGCAGUGAGGAAUUUUGCGCAAUGGGGGAAACCCUGACGCCAGCAACGCCGCGUGAGUGAAGACGGCCUUCGGGUUGUAAAGCUCUGUCGUGUAUGACGAGUAGGGACGGUAAUACACAAGGAAGCCUCGGCUAACUACGUGCCAGCCGCGGC